RNAcentral lists this ribosomal RNA (555 nucleotides) under uncultured bacterium. Its description in RNAcentral is "partial 16S ribosomal RNA". It matches the Rfam family "Bacterial small subunit ribosomal RNA", at positions 355 to 901 of the family's 1533-position model. The record is from RNAcentral.
UAGGGAAUCUUCCACAAUGGACGCAAGUCUGAUGGAGCAACGCCGCGUGAGUGAAGAAGGUCUUCGGAUCGUAAAGCUCUGUUGUUGGUGAAGAAGGAUAGAGGCAGUAACUGGUCUUUAUUUGACGGUAAUCAACCAGAAAGUCACGGCUAACUACGUGCCAGCAGCCGCGGUAAUACGUAGGUGGCAAGCGUUGUCCGGAUUUAUUGGGCGUAAAGCGAGCGCAGGCGGAAUGAUAAGUCUGAUGUGAAAGCCCACGGCUCAACCGUGGAACUGCACCGGAAACUGUCAUUCUUGAGUGCAGAAGAGGAGAGUGGAACUCCAUGUGUAGCGGUGGAAUGCGUAGAUAUAUGGAAGAACACCAGUGGCGAAGGCGGCUCUCUGGUCUGCAACUGACGCUGAGGCUCGAAAGCAUGGGUAGCGAACAGGAUUAGAUACCCUGGUAGUCCAUGCCGUAAACGAUGAGCGCUAGGUGUUGGGGACUUUCCGGUCCUCAGUGCCGCAGCAAACGCAUUAAGCGCUCCGCCUGGGGAGUACGACCGCAAGGUUGAAACG